CAGGUUUUUGCUGUCAUAGGUGGUGUACUUUGGCCACCAAGUAAAAUUAAGUUUUUUCAUCAACAUAAAUAGACCUAAACAAGUCUGUCAUUUUCUGACUUAAAUAAGUCUAAAAUUGAAAACACAUUUUAUAAUAAAUACAUGUUUUGACUUCUUUAAGUCAAAAACAAAAAUGGACUUGUUUAUGUCUGAGCUUUGACUG
This 202-nucleotide long non-coding RNA is filed under the name Mytilus galloprovincialis (Mediterranean mussel). Lineage: Eukaryota; Metazoa; Mollusca; Bivalvia; Mytilida; Mytilidae. The record is from RNAcentral.